GGCUGCAGUCGAGGAUCUUCGGCAAUGGGCGCAAGCCUGACCGAGCGACGCCGCGUGGAGGAUGAAGGCCUUCGGGUUGUAAGCUCCUGUCGAGGGGGGGGAAGGGGAAACCUUGACCGAUCCCUGGAGGAAGCACGGGCUAAGUUCGUGCCAGCAGCCGCGGUAAGACGAACCGUGCGAACGUUAUUCGGAAUCACUGGGCUUAAAGCGCGUGUAGGCGGAUGGGAACGUCGGAUACUGAAAGCCCCCGGCUCAACCGGGGAAGUGGUUCCGAAACGACCUGUCUGGAGGGACGUAGGGGGAUCUGGAACUUCCGGUGGAGCGGUGAAAUGCGUUGAGAUCGGAAGGAACGCCCGUGGCGAAAGCGAGGUCCUGGACGUCUGCUGACGCUGAGACGCGAAAGCUAGGGGAGCAAACGGGAUUAGAUACCCCGGUAGUCCUAGCCGUAAACGAUGGGCACUGGGUAGGGGGCUCGCCGAUGGGCUCUCUGCCGUAGCGAAAGCGUGAAGUGCCCCGCCUGGGGAGUAUGGUCGCAAGGCUGAAACUCAAAGGAAUUGACGGGGGCUCACACA
Molecule: ribosomal RNA, 572 nt
Filed under: uncultured Planctomycetota bacterium
Lineage: Bacteria; Pseudomonadati; Planctomycetota
Description: bacterial SSU rRNA
Rfam family: Bacterial small subunit ribosomal RNA
Source: RNAcentral